CAGCCGCCACGGUAAUACGUAGGUGGCAAGCGUUGUCCGGAAUUAUUGGGCGUAAAGCGCGCGCAGGCGGUUUCUUAAGUCUGAUGUGAAAGCCCCCGGCUUAACCGGGGAGGGUCAUUGGAAACUGGGAGACUUAGAGUGCAGAAGAGGAGAGUGGAAUUCCAUGUGUAGCGGUGAAAUGCGUAGAUAUAUGGAGGAACACCAGUGGCGAAGGCGACUCUCUGGUCUGUAACUGACGCUGAGGCGCGAAAGCGUGGGGAGCAAACAGGAUUAGAUACCCCCGUAGUCCCUGUCUCUUAUA
Molecule: ribosomal RNA, 301 nt
Filed under: uncultured bacterium
Lineage: Bacteria
Description: partial 16S ribosomal RNA
Rfam family: Bacterial small subunit ribosomal RNA
Source: RNAcentral